Molecule: ribosomal RNA, 465 nt
Filed under: uncultured bacterium
Lineage: Bacteria
Description: partial 16S ribosomal RNA
Rfam family: Bacterial small subunit ribosomal RNA
Source: RNAcentral
GACGAACGCUGGCGGCAUGCUUAACACAUGCAAGUCGUACGGUAAGGCCCUUUCUGGGGGGCGCGAUCGGCGAACGGGUGAGUAACACGCACGUAACUUGCCCACACCUUUGGUUGAACGCUAUUAAAGUGGUGCGAAUACUUACUAUGUACUCCUUCUGCAUGGUGGGGGUUGGAAAGCUCGUGCGGUUGUGGAUGGACUCGCGGCCUACCGGCCUGUUGGUGGGGUAGUGGCCUACCUGGGCGGCGACGGGUAGCCGGCCUGAGGGGGUGACCGGCCACACUGGGACUGAGAUACGGCCCGGACUCCUACGGGAGGCAGCAGUGGGGAAUAUUGCACAAUGGGCGCAAGCCUGAUGCAGCAACGCCGCGGGCGGGAGGACGGCCUUCGGGUUGUAAACCGCUUUCAGCAGGGACGAAGCUUUUUGUGACGGUACCUGCAGAAGAAGCACCGGCUAACUACGUG